AGAUUGAACGCUGGCGGAAUGCUUUACACAUGCAAGUCGAGCGGCAGCGCGGGGCAACCUGGCGGCGAGCGGCGAACGGGUGAGUAACACAUCGGAACAUGUCCAUUCGUGGGGGAUAGCCCGGCGAAAGCCGGAUUAAUACCGCAUACGCCCUACGGGGGAAAGCGGGGGACUUCGCAAGAGGCCUCGCGCGAAUGGGUUGGCCGAUGUCCGAUUAGCUAGUUGGUGGGGUAAAGGCUUACCAAGGCGAUGAUCGGUAGCUGGUCUGAGAGGAUGAUCAGCCACACUGGGACUGAGACACGGCCCAGACUCCUACGGGAGGCAGCAGUGGGAAUUUGGACAAUGGGGGCAACCCUGAUCCAGCCAUUCCGCGUGAGUGAAGAAGGCCUUCGGGUUGUAAAGCUCUUUUGUCCGGAACGAAACGGUAGCGUAGAAUAUCGCUGCCUACUGACGGUACCGAAGAAUAAGCACGCUAACUACGUGCCAGCAGCCGC
Molecule: ribosomal RNA, 494 nt
Filed under: uncultured soil bacterium
Lineage: Bacteria
Description: bacterial SSU rRNA
Rfam family: Bacterial small subunit ribosomal RNA
Source: RNAcentral